GCUCCUACGGGACGCAGCAGUGAGGGAUAUUGGUCAAUGGGGGAAACCAUGAACCAGCAACGCCGCGUGAGGGAAGACGGUUUUCGGAUUGUAAACCUCUGUCCUCUGUGAAGAUAAUGACGGUAGCAGAGGAGGAAGCUCCGGCUAACUACGUGCCAGCAGCCGCGGUAAUACGUAGGGAGCGACCGUUGUCCGGAUUUACUGGGUGUAAAGGUUGCGUAGGCGGGUAAGCAAGUCAGAAGUGGAAUCCACGGGCUUAACCCAUGAACU
Molecule: ribosomal RNA, 270 nt
Filed under: uncultured bacterium
Lineage: Bacteria
Description: partial 16S ribosomal RNA
Rfam family: Bacterial small subunit ribosomal RNA
Source: RNAcentral